AUACGGAGGGUGCAAGCGUUGUUCGGAAUCACUGGGCGUAAAGGGCGCGCAGGCGGUUUGGUAAGUCAGAUGUGAAAGCCCACGGCUCAAGCGUGGAAGUGCAUUUGAAACUGCCAGACUUGAGUACCAGAGGGGAAAGUGGAAUUCCCGGUGUAGAGGUGAAAUUCGUAGAUAUCGGGAGGAAUACCGGUGGCGAAGGCGACUUUCUGGCUGGAUACUGACGCUGAGGCGCGAAAGCGUGGGGAGCAAACAGGAUUAGAAACCCUAGUAGUCC
Molecule: ribosomal RNA, 274 nt
Filed under: uncultured bacterium
Lineage: Bacteria
Description: partial 16S ribosomal RNA
Rfam family: Bacterial small subunit ribosomal RNA
Source: RNAcentral